This 468-nucleotide ribosomal RNA is filed under the name uncultured bacterium. RNAcentral describes it as "partial 16S ribosomal RNA". It matches the Rfam family "Bacterial small subunit ribosomal RNA", at positions 28 to 507 of the family's 1533-position model. The record is from RNAcentral.
GACGAACGCUGGCGGCGUGCUUAACACAUGCAAGUCGAACGGAAAGGCCCUGCUUUUGUGGGGUGCUCGAGUGGCGAACGGGUGAGUAACACGUGAGUAACCUGCCCUUGACUUUGGGAUAACUUCAGGAAACUGGGGCUAAUACCGGAUAGGAGCUCCUGCUGCAUGGUGGGGGUUGGAAAGUUUCGGCGGUUGGGGAUGGACUCGCGGCUUAUCAGCUUGUUGGUGGGGUAGUGGCUUACCAAGGCUUUGACGGGUAGCCGGCCUGGGAGGGUGACCGGCCACAUUGGGACUGAGGUACGGCCCAGACUCCUACGGGAGGCAGCAGUGGGGAAUAUUGCACAGUGGGCGGGAGCCUGAUGCAGCAGCGCCGCGUGCGGGAUGACGGCCUGCGGGUUGUAAACCGCUUUCGCCUGUGACGAAGCGUGAGUGACGGUAAUGGGUAAAGAAGCACCGGCUAACUACGUG